RNAcentral lists this ribosomal RNA (301 nucleotides) under uncultured bacterium. RNAcentral describes it as "partial 16S ribosomal RNA". It matches the Rfam family "Bacterial small subunit ribosomal RNA", at positions 510 to 808 of the family's 1533-position model. The record is from RNAcentral.
AGCCGCCGCGGGAAUACGAAGGGUGCAAGCGUUAAUCGGAAUUACUGGGCGUAAAGCGUGCGUAGGCGGUGAGUUAAGUCUGCUGUGAAAUCCCCGGGCUCAACCUGGGAAUGGCAGUGGAUACUGGCUCGCUAGAGUGUGUCAGAGGAUGGUGGAAUUCCCGGUGUAGCGGUGAAAUGCGUAGAGAUCGGGAGGAACAUCAGUGGCGAAGGCGGCCAUCUGGGACAACACUGACGCUGAGGCACGAAAGCGUGGGGAGCAAACAGGAUUAGAUACCCCAGUAGUCCCUGUCUCUUAUACC